This 458-nucleotide long non-coding RNA is filed under the name Vombatus ursinus (common wombat). RNAcentral's name for it is "lncRNA (ENSVURG00010017893.1)". Lineage: Eukaryota; Metazoa; Chordata; Mammalia; Diprotodontia; Vombatidae. The record is from RNAcentral.
UGCUACAAGGAAUCAUUUCAGAGAAUUACAAGGAUUCUUGUUGGCAUUGCCACUGUCCCAAGCUUUAAGUCUCAAGACCCUGAGCUCUGCCUACCUGGAUCUACACACAGUACCUGCUUGAUCUUCCCUGCCUUUGCUGAUCUCCUGGACUUUGCCUAUCUACAUGGACCCAUGGUACCUGCUUGUUCCUCCCUGCCUUUGCUGAUCUCCUGGAUUCUGGACUUUUGUUUUUCUACUGGAACUGAUUUGCUCCUCCCUAUAUUAAUUGAUCCUACUCUGUCCUUAACCCCUUGCCUGCCUAUACUUUUGGUAUCUAGCGAAUGCCGGUGGAUUAACUGAAUACCCUUCCCUGCCCUCUCCUGCCUACCACAUUCCAUGACACCCAAGCCCCCCUGCAUGACAGUGGGAAUUUAUUGGCUUUAAAAAAAUAAUAAAUAUGAUAAGAAAAGUGCCUGUCA